CAACCCUCGAGCACCGCUCGGCGUUGGGGGAGCGGCCGCGCGCCGCCCCCCGAAAUGCAGUGGCGACACCGCCGCGUCCUCCCCUGCGCAGUAGCUCCACAGAGAAACCUCGCACCGGCGGCGCGGCGGCUGUCACGCCGUGAAACGUCCACCUAG
This 156-nucleotide unclassified non-coding RNA is filed under the name Ophiocordycipitaceae sp. RNAcentral's name for it is "partial internal transcribed spacer 2". RNAcentral also lists the same sequence under 2 other names. The record is from RNAcentral. Lineage: Eukaryota; Fungi; Ascomycota; Sordariomycetes; Hypocreales; Ophiocordycipitaceae.